RNAcentral lists this RNase MRP RNA (452 nucleotides) under Dothideomycetidae sp. 11243. Its description in RNAcentral is "fungal sp. No.11243 RNase MRP". It matches the Rfam family "RNase MRP". From Rfam's summary of the family: RNase MRP is an enzymatically active ribonucleoprotein with two distinct roles in eukaryotes. Lineage: Eukaryota; Fungi; Ascomycota; Dothideomycetes. The record is from Rfam by way of RNAcentral.
UUCUCGCUCAAAGCAUCGCAGUCGAGGCUCACACACAGUCCUGCAUUCCAGGAUCCGACAUGCCUUGGGAGAAAGUCCCCGGACAGCUCUUCCUCUGGAAGACAAGCUUAGAAGCGCCGCCAUAGAAGCAUUUGUCUCGCGGCUUACCUCGCCUUCACCUCCGUCGCUCUUCCGGCCCCAGGUGCCGCUUGUACUCUGUAUGUUCUAGUUGCGUCUACCUCCGCUAGCCGAGGGGGCUAUGUCUGAAGGCAGGACGAGGAUAUGAGUCCUGCCCUCUCGUCAGGUGGGUGGCUCUGGCUCUUCUCGUGGCUAGCAGAGGAGGCCUCUGGCAUUUCCGGAACGAUUCGUGCGGGUCCAGGUGGUGGCGACAUUUUUUCGUCGCGGUCGAAAGAUAUGCGAUUGCUCCGCCAUUGUGGUGGAGUAACUCGAUGGGGCUUAUUCUUGAGGCGAGA